RNAcentral lists this long non-coding RNA (423 nucleotides) under Phoenix dactylifera (date palm). Its description in RNAcentral is "long non-coding RNA (PDAC_LNC013453)". Lineage: Eukaryota; Viridiplantae; Streptophyta; Magnoliopsida; Arecales; Arecaceae. The record is from RNAcentral.
UGAUUAAGACUUUGAUAUAGAAAGUUGAUUUAUUGAUUUUUAAAAUCCGCGUGACUAUAGUCUAGGCCCCGCCAAUGGGAUGAUACGUUGGCCCUGUCGACUUGUACUGAGGAACUAGUUCCGACACCGCGACCACCGGUGAUAGAAUAGUGGCGGCACAGGGGUGCAUUUUGCUCUUCGGAGCGGCUCAGUGGAGCGUGAGUUUGGCACCAGGGGGUGCGGCACAGUGGUGCGUUGGCUCAGUGGAGCGGCUCUUCGGAGAGUUGUAUUGGCACUUCGGUGUAACCAUGCCACUGGGUGAUGUGGCCGUAGUCUUGCGGUUGAGUUAUUUUGAGUCUCGGAUCGGGUUUACGGAUUGUCGUGUGAAUUUUUGGAUUCAUGAGUUUUAGCUGCUUUUUAUAUGCAUCGUGACAUGUUAUAUGA